Molecule: ribosomal RNA, 440 nt
Filed under: uncultured bacterium
Lineage: Bacteria
Description: partial 16S ribosomal RNA
Rfam family: Bacterial small subunit ribosomal RNA
Source: RNAcentral
CCUACGGGAGGCAGCAGUGGGGAAUAUUGGACAAUGGGGGAAACCCUUAUCCAGCGACGCCGCGUGAGGGAAGAAGGUUUUCGGAUUUUAAACCUCUGUCAGUGGGGACGAUAAUGACGGUACCCACGGAGGAAGCCACGGCUAAAUACGUGCUAGCAGCCGCGGUAAUACGUUGGGGGCAAGCGUUGUCCGGAAUUACUGGGUGUAAAGGGUGCGGAGGCGGGAUGUCAAGUCAGAGUUGAAAAUUAUGGGCACAAAACAUAACCUGCUUUUGAAACUGAUAUUCUUGAGUGAAGUAGAGGCAAGCGGAAUGCCUAGGGUAGCGGUGAAAGGCGUAGAUAUUAGGAGGAACACCAGUGGCGAAGGCGGCUUGCUGGGCUUUUACUGACGCUGAGGCUCGAAAGCGUGGGGAGCAAACAGGAGUAGAUACCCUUGUAGUC